RNAcentral lists this non-coding RNA (26 nucleotides) under Mus musculus (house mouse). The record is from RNAcentral. Lineage: Eukaryota; Metazoa; Chordata; Mammalia; Rodentia; Muridae.
UCCGAAUACAUAAGCGAACACAUACA